UAUUUAUGUUCUUCAAAAUAUAUUUUUCCUUGCAAAAUUUAUUAUAAUUCAUAUUUAAACAUUUGUCAUCAACGAUUUAAAAAUAUUUGAAUUUAAUAGUGGUUACUCAAAUAAAUAAAUAAAUAAAUUGGAAUAGGGAAAAGAUUGGUACCAUGCUAUCGAUCCUUGCCCAACCGUACAUAAAUCACCGUUCAAUCUAUUUAUUUUCACCUUCGCCUCACCGUGAAGUUUUGAAAAUUAAGAUAAGACUUUCCUUUGAGAUUUUUGAGGGUGGAACCCCAUUUGACAAUGUUUUGGGCCUCACUAUUAUAUUUUUCACUUAUUUUUUAGUUUUCGGCAUAAAUAAUCUGCUAAAUAUACAUUUAUUACUCAAUAAAUCGUAAAUAUGCUUCCAGAUGCCUUAUAAAGUUUUCCUUAAUGCUCACAAAAAAAUAUUUUUCAAAAAUAAAAUAUUUGCAUUUUUGACAAAAAAAACGUGGAUUAACACUCACGAUUUUUAGUCGGUUUUGUAAAUUCAUAUAUAUAUAUCAUCGUUCAAUCUACUUAUUCACCUUCGCUUCACCGUAAAGUUUUGAAAAUUAAUGUAAGACUUUCCGUUGGUAUUCUUGAGGGUGAAACCGCUUUUUUAUAAUGUUUUGGGCCUCCCUACUAUAUUUUUUACUUACUUUCUUAGUGUUCGGUUUAAAUGUUCUACUAAAUAUACAUUUGUUAAGUUUUAAAAAUUAGUGUAAGACUUUUCGUUGAUAUUCUUGAGGAUGGAACCCCAUUUAGAGCCUAGUGCAAGAGUCCAAGUUCCAUAUCAACUUGGGCCGCCACAUAAAAGAAAUCAAGUGAUUGGGUUAUCACAAAAUUAGUUGGCCCAAUUGGAGUAAAAGCAACAUACAAAAUGCCAACUCUCUCUUUGCACAUCGAGAGUACACUCUGUAGCGUGUUAAGUCCGGUGAGAUAGAAAAAAGAAAGAAAUAUAUAGUCCGUUAGACCAUUUUCAAAGAAAAUAUCAAAUUUUAAAUAUGUUCCCUUGCAUCUAAGUUGGAGUCUCGUUUCUGUAGUGAAGUUGUUUAGAAUAUUGUCAUGUUAGGCAGAAAGAUUAAUCAAAUUUUCGGUGCUUGAUGAAAAUGACACACAGGAAUGUCCUGAAGGCCACCAUUGAUGUUCCUGAAGCAGGAGAAGCCAACUUUCAUUGCACCCACCUCGAUCAUCUUGAUGAGAGUUGGAGGAUGAGGCAGAUUAAUGCUAUAAUCCAAUCAAGCAAUGAGCCCCACAUCUUGGCUGGAGACCUCAAUUCUUUGGAUGAGUCAGACUACUCUCAAGAAAGAUGGACUGAUAUUGUAAAGGUGAGACAUGAUGACACUUCCAAAUUAUCAGAAAUUAUCUGUACAAGACCUCCGGUUUUUACCAAAAGGACCGAUUUUGUACGGAUAACACAUCUAUGCAUUUUGUUAUUAACAUGUAAUCUAUCAAUGUUUUCAACAGUUCAUCAUUUAGUAAGUAAAUAAAAAGAACGUCAUGUUCAGAGAAGAACUGUACAAAUUAUGUACCUAACAAUGCUUUGAUUUGUUUUGGCUGCAGUAUUAUGAGGAUAUGGGUAAACCAAGGCCUAAGGUUGAAGUAAUGAGAUACUUGAAGAGCAAGCAGUACACAGAUGCAAAGGACUUUGAAGGAGAAUAUGAGUCAGUAGUUAUGAUUGCCAAAGGCCAAAGUAAACCAACCCGAAACCCUAAUGUUAACUUGUUACCUGGUUUGAGCUUGAGCGCUAUUGUUUUUCUAAAUGCAUAAUUUUGUACCUUAACGCAGGUGUGCAGGGAACAUGCAAGUACGGAACGAGAGUAGAUUAUAUAUUAGCAUCUGCAAACUCACCUUACAAAUUUGUUCCUGGAUCAUACUCAGUGUUUUCUUCCAAGGGGACAUCAGAUCAUCAUAUAGUAAGAGUUGAUGUUGUUAAAGUGGAUAAUUGUGGUGAAGAAAAUAACAGCAGAAGAAGGCAGCUGAAGCAAAAAGUUACCAAGAUAACAAACCCUACUUCCCAGUCAAAAGGAAUAUGGAAAAUCCCACAUAUAUGAAAAGAACGUGCUAUCUACACACCUUUUUUUACCUUUCAUACAAUCUUCUCAAUUUCCGAUCAUCAGGUCGAAUGAAAUGAAGAAUAUCAAAUGAUAGAAAUUAACUUAAAAUGUGUAAAAGAUAAGCGAGGUGUGCAUAUAGCACAACCCAUAUGAAAAAAAACAUAUAGAUUAAUAAUUGACUUUUACUUUUACAGUUUAGAUUUAGGGUUUGGUUUGUUGAAGGAAGGGCAGGUUCUGGCUUGGGAUCUGCAUUUAUCUCCUACAGUUAGUAAAAUAUUUUCAGUCUACAUGGGUUGUUAGGGAUACAACAAGUCAAAGGAAGAGGUGGAAUUUGGUGUGGUUGGUUAGCAAUUUUUUACUUCUUCAAAUUGUACAGCAGAGUGAAAAAGUUACAUAUUUUGAUAGUGAUUUCUUUGUUCUUCGCUUUCUUUUUAUUUGCUUCUCAUUUUGUUACCCCCAACAAUGAAUUUUGAAACGUGAAUCCACCCUCUUAAUUUAGCUUCUGCCACUCUAUCGAUAUGAAGUGUCACAAGUUAAAUCAGGGACGGACAAUGAUUUUAAAAUGAGCUGAGAUAGUUUAUACUUGAUGUAGAAAACUAUAAGAGAACUCGAUGGACCAUGAUUUUAAAAUGAGUUGAGAUUGGUGCCGGGGGUUGGCACUUAUAGGCCGCUAUCAAUAUGGGAUGGAGUUUAGUUUUAAUCUCAGGAGUCAAUCAUGGUUGGCCGAACGAAGCAUUGUUACUGGGGGUGGGACAUUUGUAAUCCGCUAUCAACCCUGACAUAAUUUAUACUAAAAUCAUCACUUUUAAUGUAGUAACCCCCUUUAAGAAAAAUAAAAAAUUUCUCCGUGAGUGCACCGGGUGCUAAAGCGUGCCGAACUUAGGGUGUUAUUUUUCGGUAGGCUACUAUUCACCCGUUACUAUUCCUGUGCUACUAUUCAUACGCUCCUAAACCCUAAACUAUCAAUUUUAUUUUAUUUUAUUUUUUUGUUAAUUUUUUUUCCCUUACCAUAACCAAACUAUCACUUCAUGUUCUACAAAACGUAUUGGCGGUAAAAAAAACAUUCUUAUAAUCCAUGUCAAAACACACUCGAAAACAAGGAUAUAAAUAUGAAUCUAUAUAAAGUAAGGUAGGAAGGAAAAAAAAAAUUCAAUGGAAAAAGAAAAAAGCGGAAAAUAAAUAAAUAAAAUAGAAAAUGAUACGAUCGGUAAUAUCUACCGAUUGUCCACAAUAAUGUUCACUAUAAUAGUAGCGACAGACCUGCAUAUUAGUCGCUAUCAUCAGACCGAUCCUCCCUUUUCAAUUUUUUUUCUUUUUUAGUUUUUUAUUAUUUAUUUUUAAAAAACUUUCUUUUAUUUCUCUUACCAUAGCAACAAACCAUCAUAUUUAUGUUCUUCAAAAUAUAUUUUUCCGUGCAAAAUUUAUUAUAAUUCAUAUUUAAACAUUUGUCAUCAACGAUUUAAAAAUAUUUGAAUUUAAUAGUGGUUACUCAAAUAAAUAAAUUGGAAUAGGAAAAGAUUGGGACCAUGCUAUCGAUCCUUGCCCAACCGUACAUAAAUCACCAUUCAAUCUAUUUAUUUUCACCUUCGCCUCACCGUGAAGUUUUGAAAAUUAAGAUAAGACUUUCCUUUGAGAUUUUUGUGGGUGGAACCCCAUUUGACAAUGUUUUGGGCCUCACUAUUAUAUUUUUCACUUAUUUUUUAGUUUUCGGCUUAAAUAAUCUGCUAAAUAUACAUUUAUUACUCAAUAAAUCAUAAAUAUGCUUCCAGAUGCCUUAUAAAGUUUUCCUUAAUGCUCACAAAAAAAAUAUUUUUCAAAAAUAAAAAUAUUUGCAUUUUUUGACCAAAAAAACGUGGAUUAACACUCACGAUUUUUAGUCGAUUUUGUAAAUUCAUAUAUAUAUAUAUAUAUAUCAUCGUUCAAUCUAUUUAUUCACCUUUGAUUCACCGUAAAGUUUUGAAAAUUAAUGUAAGACUUUCCGUUGGUAUUCUUGAGGGUGAAACCGCUUUUUUAUAAUGUUUUGGGCCUCCCUACUAUAUUUUUUACUUACUUUCUUAGUGUUCGGUUUAAAUGUUCUACUAAAUAUACAUUUGUUAAGUUUUGAAAAUUAGUAUAAGACUUUCCGUUGAUAUUCUUGAGGGUGGAACCCCAUUUAGAGCCUAGUGCAAGAGUCCAAAGUUCCAUAUCAACUUGGGCCGCCACAUAAAGGAAAUCAAGUGAUUGGGUUAUCACAAAAUUAGUUGGCCCAAUUGGAGUAAAAGCAACAUACAAAAUGCCAACCGUCUCUUUGCACAUCGAGAGUACACUCUUUAGUCUGUAUCUUUCUUCACACGUGUUAAGUCAGGUGACAUGAGAGAUAGAAUCCUUGGUAUCGUUUGGUACAUGGAACUGGACAGAACGGAAUGGAACAAGGCGUUCUGUCUCGUGUUUGGUGUACCUAAAAUAGGUGGAACAUGCUAUUCCACGGAAUGAAUUUUAGGUGAAUUUUCGUUCCGCCUCACUCCCCUAGAACAACUCGUUCUACAUCUGUGGAACACAAAAUUAUAACAUCUCCAUCUCCUUCUUCUUCCUCCUUGUUUCCAACCGAGGACAUCUUUCCUCCAUCUCCGUUCCGUUCCGUCCGGUUCUGUUCCAUCCCGUCUUGUUUCCAUACCAAACGAUACAUUUAGUCUGUAUCUUUCUUCACACGUGUUAAGUCAGG
RNAcentral lists this long non-coding RNA (4764 nucleotides) under Malus domestica (apple). RNAcentral's name for it is "long non-coding RNA (MDOM_LNC003426)". Lineage: Eukaryota; Viridiplantae; Streptophyta; Magnoliopsida; Rosales; Rosaceae. The record is from RNAcentral.